This 340-nucleotide long non-coding RNA is filed under the name Setaria viridis. Its description in RNAcentral is "long non-coding RNA (SVIR_LNC000378)". Lineage: Eukaryota; Viridiplantae; Streptophyta; Magnoliopsida; Poales; Poaceae. The record is from RNAcentral.
AUCUUUGUAUUAACCAAAUUUUGCAGGAUUACAACAAAUAACUCUACUUUAAGAAGUUGGAGUGUUCAGAGUAAAACAUAAGUGCUCAACAACGACUGCAAGCAACUGCCUACUGACAGUCACAAUAGAAGUCCGAGACUUUUAUUACAUCACAAGGAUACACUUGAGCAUGGUGACUACUCACAGUUCAGGAGCAAGAAACACCAAGAGGCGGGAAGUGCGCGCAAGGAAGCUGCGCUCUAGGCAGCUAUGCCCUUCUCCUCUCCCUCGGCGGUGACAUAGACGGAGACUAGGGCUCCACGCACUCCAGCCCUGCUGCCCUCCAUCAACACCCUUUCCC